Molecule: transfer RNA, 70 nt
Filed under: Pheidole pieli
Lineage: Eukaryota; Metazoa; Arthropoda; Insecta; Hymenoptera; Formicidae
Description: tRNA-Gln
Source: RNAcentral
UAUGUUUUAAUGUAUAGAGGCAUGUAAAUUUUUGAAGUUUAAAGAAAUAGUUUAAUUCUAUUAAACAUAA